This 4740-nucleotide long non-coding RNA is filed under the name Triticum aestivum (bread wheat). RNAcentral describes it as "long non-coding RNA (TAES_LNC025803)". The record is from RNAcentral. Lineage: Eukaryota; Viridiplantae; Streptophyta; Magnoliopsida; Poales; Poaceae.
GUAACUUCAUUGCAUAACUAUUGACUUUCGUGCUUGCAUAGGGAAUCACAAACCUUAACACCAAUAUCUAUUAUAUAAUUAAAAUAAAAGUCAAAUAAGCCAUCAUGUUCAUCCACAUAAGUUAAAAUUAUCUAAUAUGUUAGAUUGUAAUUUUAACAGCCUUGAUUUAAAAUAAACGCAUAAACGAGCAUAAGUUGUUUUGUCACGUGUACGUGCAUAGAACGGACCAACACAUCCAUGUUCCAUCACGUGUAGUGCAUAGCACAGAACAACACGUCACGCCAACUAGCAAAGAUAGUAGUCAAACCUAAUUAUAUAAGAAACCUAAACAAAUUAGGACAUCCACCUGACGUGACAUGAUGAAAGUUCGAAGACAGGAACAAAUACGUACAAGAUUUCGACAUGGUCUCGGCCACGUCAACCCAGCCACCUCCACCCAUAUAAACAAGUGCAGCCGGCCAAACAAGCACAUACCAAACAAUUGGAAAUCGACAACCACCAUGUCUUGAAACAUGCCACACGGAACACACGACUCACCGUCCACACAACUUGAAGUCGACAUAGGUAGCACGACGAAAAGUCACCUCCAACCGCUUCACUUGACGUCCGACGAAGUCACGCCAAAGCCCGCCGACAACCGACAAAGCCACACCCAGCUGCUCCAAUCGAUGUCGGAAGAAGUGAUAACAAAACACUUCUGGCCUGAAUCAUCAGACUUGGUAAUUGUUAUUUAACUAACUUUUUUUCUAGGUAGAAUCUUCAUAAAUGCUAUAUACAUUGACAAAUUGUUUCCUAUUAAUUUUGAAGACAUAAAACUAUGGCAUACGAAAAGUUGAGCGACUUAAAUACAAGGGGGCAGAAUUGGAACAUUCAAGUGAAAGUAAUGAGGAUUUGGGAUUCGGUUAAUCCUACGACCGAUGAGCUUAUUAGCCUAGAUAUGAUACUCAUGGAUGAGAAGGUGUUUUCCCAAUAUAGUCAAUUGGACUUUUCUUUCAGAUUAAGCAACAGUUACUAACCAUAAUUCAUUGCUUUUACAGGAUGAAACAAUUCAUGCUACUAUCUGGAAGAAUCUAAUAAACACUUUUAGAUCAAAGAUCAAUGAGAGGUCUAUUUAUGCAUUCAGCAAUUUUAAGGUUGCGGAAUCCACAAAAUAUAGGCCAGUCAGCAAUGAAAUUAAAAUAUUUUUUGCAUACAAUAUAAAGGUAAAGGAGAUAAAAGCAUCUUCAGAAGUUUUUCCAGACUAUUGCUUCGAGUUUGCUACCAUGGAGACAAUCGAAGAAAGGGCAGAAAAAGAUACACAAUGCUCGGGUAUGUUUAUAGUUGUAAUUAUGGCCUCCAAAUAAUUGAUAUUUCUAAUUUUAAUGUUACUAAUCUCCAAAUAUAUAGAUGUUAUUGGACUUCUAAAAAAAUGAAGCCCGUGGAGACAAGAAUAACAAAAAAGAGCCCACAACCUUCAUAUAUCCGCAAGAUUGAAAUACUAAUGCCAGAGUAAGUGCAUAUGCAUAUGCAUGUCUGAAAUUUAACUAAGCCUACCCCAUGUGGUUAGCACUAACUUCUCGGAUUAAAUUCGUUAGGGGUGAUAAACGUUGUGGGGAAAGUUUGCUUAUUUUUUGACCGAGAAUGUUAUCGGCAACCAAACUGUCAUUAGUAUUGCAUCAACGAUUCUGCAGAGAUUCAAUGGUAAGUCCAUAAAUCUUAGAUGCUAUCCUUAUCAUUUACAAAUUCUAAUUGGUUGAUUAAAUAGGUUUGUGCCUGAAGUCAACGAGUGCCAUAAGAAUAUAUAUAGAUCUGGAUAUACCAGAAACACAAGAACUUCUUGAAAGGUAUGAAACACUAGCAAUUAAAAAAUUCCCACUCAUGAAUAGUGACUCAUGUUGAUUCAAGAUUGUAUAUAUUAUUAUUUAUUUUAUAUAUGUGCAGGGACUCAACACAAGUAACCUUACCAAAAAUGAUGAGUAUAGAUAGAAGUAAUCAAGGAACACUAGAAGAACAAAUGUUUUACAGGCGGAGAACAUUGUAGGAACUUACUCAAAUGAGGCAUGGAAACAAGCAAGACUAGGUAAUUCAUCGGAUUUUCAAUAAAUGAUAUCAUCAAUAUUUGUGAUAACAAGUUAAGACCUACAUUGACAAUUCAUUUAAUAUUAGUAACAAUGGAACCAUAUUCAAUUUAUAUAUGUGACUUAAUUCUCGACCCCUACCCCAAUGCUAAUGUUGAUUGUUUUCAGGAUUUGUGUUCAGGUCAAUAGCUACAGUAGAUCGGUUGCAAGAAAAUAUUCAAUGGUGGUACAUGUCAUGUGAUAACUGUCCCAAAAUGGUUAUCGGAAAUCGACAAGUAUUAUUGCAAGAGUUGUGGUAUAUAUCCAGGAAAGGUCACACCUCGGUAAGCAUAUUAUAUUACUAAAAUAUGAACAAUAAGUGUUAUAUUAUAUUUACUCCCCACUAACAUGAAUGGUAUGUUAGUAUCGUAUUCGGCUACAAACUAGUGACCGUACAUCUACUACAAGUUGCACUUUAUUUGACGAGGAGGCUGCAAGAUUGCUUAAUACAUCUGCAUCUGACUUGCUGAACUCACUGGAUGGGAAAACAGAAGAAGCGCCAAAGAUUAUUCAACAAUUAUGUGGAAAGAAAUUAAUAUUUUGAUUCAAUCUCAGUGAUAGUGAUCUCACAUUUGGCACACAAAACUAUUCUCAAAAAAGAACAUUUGUGCCUGAUGAUAGGCUUGAGAUGCUCUACUUGAACGACAGAGCCGAGGAGGUAAAGGUUCAUUAACUUUGUUUCAAAAACAAAGUACCAUCUUUAGAAUUCCUUAACCAAUUCAUAUUACAUUUGUUGCAAAGCAAUUGAUGGGUGAUGAUGUGGACACUAUGUUAAUGAAGAAGCAGAACGUGCCAGAUAAAAAGGUGAUUGAUUUUUUGAUGAUACACACUUGAAAUUUUAGAGAUGUGUCUUAUUUGAAAAUGUAUAUGUAUGCAGUCACAGAAUGAUAAAGUUUCACCUUCCUGCAAACUGGUGCCUAUGAAAGAGGAGCCAUGUGAUGGCAGUGAAUCUACAUUAAACAAAGACAAGCAGCAAGACAAAAGAUCAUCAUUGUCAUCACUUGAGCUAUGUAGUGGCAAUAAAAGGAGACUGAGAUCUGUUGUAAUACCGUCGGAUGACUUAGAGGAUGAAUGCACGGAGACGAAUUUGCCAAAACAAAAGAAAAAAAAGGUGUCCACGAGAACAAGAAACAAUUUAAAGGCAAAGCCGAAAAUGCAGUGCCUGAAGAUGAAGAUGAAGUACAUAAAGCAAGGCCCAGAAGAACAAGGAUUCUGUCUAGAUAAUAAUUGGAUCAUUAGCUUAUGAAAUAAAUAUUAUAACAAUCUAUUUGUAUCGACCAAGAUAAGUAAGAGUAGUUGACAUCAACCAGGAUAACAAGGAUACUUAUUAUAUUAAGGGGGUGGAUAAUAGCAAUAUUCUUAGUCUAAAACAGAUUGAAAACUGUCUUCAUGUAAUUUCGUUUAUAUACAUGCUAUUGUAUCAAAAUCAGUACGAGGAUAGCACAAUAGAUAGGUACAUACUACAAGACCAAAGAUUGACGCAUUAGGAUUCAGUUCACAAUUUGAAGAAACUAUACUUUGGCAAAUCAAUAUGGGGCCAACACAAUAGACAGGACUAUACCUUGCUUCAGUAACUUCAUAGAACAACCGGGUAUUGUACGUAACGCUAGCUUUGCCCGGUGGCACCAUUCUGACCAAAAACAAAGUUCCCACAUUUAGACUUAGCAUCAAAGCAAAAUAUAAUAUCUAAUCACAUUAAUUUCUUAGUUCACUAAAAUUUGUUGGCAACUGGAAGAUUGUUUCUCAGUUACUUGAUAGGGUGACUACAAGUUACUUGAAGAAAAUUCAAUAUGUAAGCUUCUGCUCAACAAACCUAUACCCAAAUUACUAUCCAAGGUGACAUAUUAACACACAGAAGGUGAUCUAAUUACCAAUAGCAGAAUAAUCCAUCAAACUAAUUUGAAACAGGUUUUUUCAAAACUAAAGUAUCAAUAAAAUAUUGACAGAUAAUAGCCAACUUCCAGUUCAUAAAGCCUUUUUCAUGAAUAUAUUAUUCCUUGCUAAGAGCAAAUUAAAAUACUAUGUAUUACAACACUGGUACAAACAAAAUAGAAGAAAUAAUCUUCAUUACAUAGGAUGCAUAUCAUCAGUUGGCACUUACAUGCAAUGAGAAGGCCAGCAUCUCAUGGUCGUGUGCUACUAUUUGUAUUCCACGAUCUACUUAUACUAAUGUUUCACCAUUGUCACUAUAAUACAUAUGAGGACAAUAUCAGCAAACCCAAACUCCAUCCCAUACCUCGGACGUCAGAUCCAACAAUUCAUCAUCAGCAGGCAACUUGGCAAGUUCCCACCAAUUGGUUCGCACACAGCCUCCUCCAUGGGGCCAAACUACAGCAACUCUGCCAUGGCUCUCUAGCCGCCGACCAUGAAGAGCUUGAGUAGUGCAGCCCCUGUGUUUUCCCUGCAACUACCCAUGGCCAAUCCACCGGACUUGACGAGGUCUUCAAGGAUCCACAUCCUUGAGAACAAGACCAACGCGUCCGCGCACUCCGCGCAACCACCAACUGCGCUAGUAACUGAAGAGAUUCAAAGAAAUGAAUGGAGGAGCGAAGAUGGAUUGGGAAUCAGUUCUGUGAUGGCAAGUACCGAAAUCUUCAUCAGCCGGCUAAUCGGAAGAGGUGGUGCAUGCGGAUGGAUAAGGAUG